CUGAGCUCUUGAUAUGUUGUCCAGGCUGCUCUUGAACUCCUAGCUGCAAACAGUCCUCCCACCUCGGCCUCCUAAAGUGCUGGGAUUACAGGCAUGAACCACUACACCCUGGCCUAGAUAAUUUGUUUGAAAAAAAAAAAAAGAAAGAAACACAAAAAUUCUUCUAAGGAAGCAUAUUAAAAAUAGGUUUUUCUGUUUCUUCUUUGAAAUAAAAUAAAUCUAAAAUAAUAGGCUGAUGUGCCCUUACCACAAACAGAAGUAACUAUUUGUCGGUGUGAAAUAUUAUUUCCCUGCAAUGAGUACACCACUGAGUUCAGAUGUAUUUAUUAGUCUAUAACUGGAGAUAAAAAUAUAACCUGAUGUCACAAUAAUUUCUGCAGGCUUUUGAGGCACGUUCUUAUUCUCCUUCCAUUGUACCAUCCUAAAUUAACUCUGGUGAGAAGCUUCACUUCCACUCUUCAUUCUAUACUGAGGAGCCAUGGGUCUUGACAAUGAAAUAAAUAACAUGAAAUACAUCUGUUUUCCUUUCUGUUAGAUAAAAGAAACCCAAGAGAACACUGUAACCUGAAAAUAAUCAACUGAUGAGUAAAUGACAGUCUUCAGCAUUUCUAGUACACUCAGUCUGGCAAAACUGUGGCCUAUACCCUUAAGUUAUAUAUUUAUAACAGGCAGAUAAACACCAUCUUUAUUUACAGAACUCUUAGGGAACUAUAUGAAGCAAGCUAAAAAUAUUUAAAAGAAUAUGUAGGACUUUUUUAAAAUAUAUUUUUAUAUUUUUGAUUAGUCUAUCAUUAAUGCCAAUACAGUCAAACCUAAAGAGCAUGCUCCCUUAGCCCUCAUACCAAGAUUUGGGGAAGACAUUUUUGUCUUCAGUCUGAUGAAAAUUUCAGGUAGUUUCUUUUGUAUAGGAAAAAUGUUCACCAGAAUAUUUUAGGAUCAGCCAUUUGAAAGAGAUUUCCUCAUCAGUUUAGGUGGAAGAAGUCCCUGAAGUUUAUCAUUGUUAAGAAGUUAAGGGUGAAAUUGUUGGUGGGAAGGUAAAUUAGUACAGCCAUAAUGAAAAUUUUUUGAAAACAAAAAAUAAAAAAUAUAACUAUUGCAUGAUUCAGCAAUCCCAUUGCUGGGUAUAUAUCCAAAGGAGAUGAAAUCAGUAUGUUAGAGAUAUCUGCACUUCCAUGUUCAAAGAGCAUUAUUCACAAUAGCCAAGAUAUGAAAUCAACUUUAAUGUUCAUCAACAGUUAAAUGGAUAAAGAAGAUAUAGUAUAUUUGCACAAUGGAAUGCUAUUCAUUCAUAAAACAGAAGAAAAUCAUCUCAUUUGCAACAAUGUGGAUAAACUGGAAAGACAUUAUGUUAAGUCAAACAAAGUAGACACAGAAAGACAAAUACUGCAUGAUUUCACUUCAAUGCAAAGUGUAAAAAAUUUGAACUGCG
RNAcentral lists this microRNA precursor (1429 nucleotides) under Homo sapiens (human). Its description in RNAcentral is "long non-coding RNA NONHSAT177929". The record is from RNAcentral. Lineage: Eukaryota; Metazoa; Chordata; Mammalia; Primates; Hominidae.